GCCAACGUAGGCGCUGCUGCCAUUGCUGUUCAUUUAAUUGGGCUGAUGUUUGAAGAAGCUAAUUGGGCUGUCAGAAUUGGUGCUAUACUUUGCAUGGGCUGACUUCCCUUUAGUGGAACGGUGCCAUUUUGAGGAUUCAGCUGCAGCUUCCUUGGGGUUCCUUACCUCAACUCAUUUAGGAAGAAGCACUCUCUUGAACAAAGUUUGGCGAGAAUGAAGAGGUUGAGGAGGAGCUAGGGCUUGACGCACGAGAAAGAACAAGAGAGGAAGAUGAGCUCCACUAAUGCGAUCUUGACCGGAGCUGUCUGUGGAGAGGAUCGAAGGCCUGAAGUUUGAGAAGAGAGGAGAAGCGUCCGAUCAAACAGCGCGAAGCAUCCAAGUGAAAAAAGGUUCCCUUUCCCUUCCC
RNAcentral lists this long non-coding RNA (406 nucleotides) under Vigna radiata. Its description in RNAcentral is "long non-coding RNA (VRAD_LNC016503)". The record is from RNAcentral. Lineage: Eukaryota; Viridiplantae; Streptophyta; Magnoliopsida; Fabales; Fabaceae.